RNAcentral lists this unclassified non-coding RNA (260 nucleotides) under uncultured Chaetothyriales. RNAcentral's name for it is "sequence contains 5.8S rRNA gene, ITS2, 28S rRNA gene". The stretch from base 1 to 52 matches the Rfam family "5.8S ribosomal RNA", at positions 103 to 154 of the family's 154-position model. Lineage: Eukaryota; Fungi; Ascomycota; Eurotiomycetes; Chaetothyriales. The record is from RNAcentral.
AACGCACAUUGCGCCCAUUGGUAUUCCGAUGGGCAUGCCUGUUCGAGCGUCAUUAUCCUCCCUCAAACCUCGUGUUUGGUGUUAGACCGCGUUGGCCGAGCGACCAACUGGUCUCAAAGACAAUGACGGCGUCCGUGGGACCCUCGGUGCAACGAGCUUCUAAGGAGCACGCGUCGAGUUUCAAGGACCCUCCGGGCCGGUCUUGACCUCUAUCUUCUCAGGUUGACCUCGGAUCAGGUAGGAAUACCCGCUGAACUUAA